This 450-nucleotide ribosomal RNA is filed under the name uncultured bacterium. RNAcentral's name for it is "bacterial SSU rRNA". It matches the Rfam family "Bacterial small subunit ribosomal RNA", at positions 10 to 507 of the family's 1533-position model. The record is from RNAcentral.
AGUUUGAUCAUGGCUCAGAACGACGCUGGCGGCAUGCCUAACACAUGCAAGUCGAACGAGACCUUCGGGUCUAGUGGCGCGCGGGUGCGUAACGCGUGGGAACCUGCCUUAGGUUCGGAAUAACUCAGAGAAAUUUGAGCUAAUACCGGAUAAUGUCUUCGGACCAAAGAUUUAUCGCCCUGAGAUAAGCCCGCGUAGGAUUAGCUAGUUGGUGGGGUAAAGGCUCACCAAGGCGACGAUCCUUAGCUGGUCUGAGAGGAUGAUCAGCCACACUGGGACUGAGACACGGCCCAGACUCCUACGGGAGGCAGCAGUGGGGGAAUAUUGGACAAUGGGCGAAAGCCUGAUCCAGCAAUGCCGCGUGAGUGAUGAAGGCCUUCGGGUUGUAAAGCUCUUUUACUCGGGACGAUAAUGACGGUACCGAGAGAAUAAGCCCCGGCUAACUCCGUG